UGGGGAAGCGCUCUGGAUCCUACUUCCGCUUCGCUUCCUCUGGGCAGGUCCAGCUUACUUGGACUGAAACUCGUGGGUCAGGUCCUUAGGACCUUCCUUUUCUUUACUGUCUUUUCCAUUUUGUAAUCCUUGCUUAGCGAUUAACAAAGCCUUUGUUUUCUUACUUUUUUUUUUUUUUUUUAAAUACACAUGGAGUCUUGUUCUGUUGCCCAGGUUGAUCUCGAACUCUCGGGCUCAAGCGAUCCUCCUGCUCGGCUUCCAAAUUGCUGGGGUUCCAGGCAUGAGCCACCGUGCCUGGCCUUAUUUUCUUUCUAAUUUUAUUUCAAGUAUUGCAUUAUUCUAAACCCCACAUUGACGAAUAUCAUCCACCUGCUCAGCAGCUAUAAAUGGUGGAGUUAGCACAUGGGUUCAAAAACCCUUGGAGAAUGGGCGCAGCGACUCACACCUGUAAUUCCAGCACUUUGAGAGGCCGAUGCAGGAGGAUUGCUUGAGUCCAGGAGUUUGAGGCUGCAAUGAGCUAUGAUGGCACCACUGCCCUCCAGACUGGGUACACAGUGGUAUCAAGAAUGGACAUUGAUCUACUUGUCACUCAGCUUAAAAAAUGAAACAUCAACAAUGCAGUUGAAGCCCCCUGUGCACCCUUCUCCAAUUGCAUCCGUCUCCUGCCUCCCUGCUACCGUCAUUCCCAGAUGAGGAAAUAGAUGCAAGAAUGGAGACCUGCCCAAUGUCAAACAACCAAGAAGCAAAACUGAAACGGGAACCUGACUUUCUGGGCAGCAACUUCAAUGCCUUCUUAUAGGUUCAUUAUUGUUGUUAUACUUUUAUUAUGCUUCUAUUGUGCUGUGUAAUUUGUUUUUAAAAAUUCAAAUUAACCUCUUGUAGACAUUCAUUGAAAUACAUUUGUUGAGCACCUGUGUAAACUGCUCACCAUUUAGUUGGGAGAAAGGUAAAUAAACAAAGUUACAAAGACAAAACAUACUUUGCAAUUUGGAGACUUAAUAAAUGUUUCUGAUGACAGUGUGAUGACAGCUUGUAAAUUAAUAAUCACAAUGAAGGCUGGGCAUGGUGGCUCAAGCCUGUAAUCCCAGUACUUUGGGAGGUCGAGGAAGGCAGAUCAUGAGGUUAGGAGUUUGAGAACAGCCUGGCCAACAUGGUGAA
Molecule: long non-coding RNA, 1158 nt
Organism: Rhinopithecus roxellana (golden snub-nosed monkey)
Lineage: Eukaryota; Metazoa; Chordata; Mammalia; Primates; Cercopithecidae
Exons: 4
Source: RefSeq, a predicted model, not a curated record